CACGUAGGGGACGAGCGUUGUCCGGAUUCAUUGGGCGUAAAGGGUGCGUAGGCGGGUCUUUAAGUCAGGGGUGAAAUCCUGGAGCUCAACUCCAGAACUGCCUUUGAUACUGAAGAUCUUGAGUUCGGGAGAGGUGAGUGGAACUGCGAGUGUAGAGGUGAAAUUCGUAGAUAUUCGCAAGAACACCAGUGGCGAAGGCGGCUCACUGGCCCGAUACUGACGCUGAGGCACGAAAGCGUGGGGAGCAAACAGG
Molecule: ribosomal RNA, 253 nt
Filed under: uncultured bacterium
Lineage: Bacteria
Description: partial 16S ribosomal RNA
Rfam family: Bacterial small subunit ribosomal RNA
Source: RNAcentral